This 492-nucleotide ribosomal RNA is filed under the name uncultured bacterium. Its description in RNAcentral is "partial 16S ribosomal RNA". It matches the Rfam family "Bacterial small subunit ribosomal RNA", at positions 29 to 507 of the family's 1533-position model. The record is from RNAcentral.
AGUGAACGCUGGCGGCAGGCCUAAUACAUGCCAGUCGAACGGAAGCACAGUAAGAGUUUGCUUUUACGGGUGGCGAGUGGCGGACGGGUGAGGAAUACAUCGGCAUCUACUUUUUCGUGGGGGAUAACGUAGGGACACUUAUGAUAAUACAGCAUAUGAUCUACGGGUGAAAGCAGGGGAUCUUCGGACCUUGCGUGAUUGAAUUAGAUGAUGUCGGAUUAGCUAGUUGGCGGGGUAAAGGCCCACCAAGGCGACGAUACGUAGCUGGUCUGAGAGGAUGAUCGGCCACACUGGAACUGAGACACGGUCCGGACUCCUACGGGAGGCAGCAGUGGGGAAUAUUGCGCAAUGGGCGCAAGCCUGAUCCAGCCAUACCGCGUGAGUGAAGAAGGCCUUCGGGUCGUAAAGCCCUUUUGUUAGGAAAGAAAAGCUGCAGAUUAAUACCCCGCUAUUCUGACGGUACCCAAUGAAUAAGCACCGGCUAACUACGUG